GUCGCUCCUCGCGGUCACGAACUUCAGGCAMCCCCGGCUUUCAUGGCUUGACGGGCGGUGUGUACAAGGCCCGGGAACGUAUUCACCGCGCCAUGGCUGAUGCGCGAUUACUAGCGAAUCCAGCUUCGUGGGGUCGGGUUGCAGACCCCAGUCCGAACUGGGACCGGAUUUCAAGAUUGGAUGCAACUUGCAUUGCACCGUCCCUCUGUACCGGCCAUUGUAACACGUGUGUAGCCCCGGACGUAAGGGCCGUGCUGAUUUGACGUCAUCCCCACCUUCCUCGCACCUUGCGGUGGCAGUGUCCCCAGAGUGCCCGGCAUMACCCGAUGGCAACUGGGAAAGGGGGUUGCGCUCGUUAUGGCACUUAAGCCGACACCUCACGGCACGAGCUGACGACAACCAUGCAGCACCUUCMCAGACGCCCCGAAGGGAAGCCCACGUCUCUGUGGGCAGCGACUGCAAUUCAAGCCCGGGUAAGGUUCCUCGCGUAUCAUCGAAUUAAACCACAUGUUCCUCCGCUUGUGCGGGCCCCCGUCAAUUCCUUUGAGUUUCACCGUUGCCGGCGUACUCCCCAGGUGGGAUGCUUAAUGCUUUCGCUUGGCCGCAGGCGCAGGGCGCCAACGGCGGGCAUCCAUCGUUUACCGUGCGGACUACCAGGGUAUCUAAUCCUGUUCGAUACCCGCACCUUCGAGCUUAAGCGUCAGUMACACUCCCGCAGGCUGCCUUCGCGAUCGGAGUUCCUCAUGAUAUCUAAGCAUUUCACCGCUACACCAUGAAUUCCGCCUGCGCUGCGUGUACUCAMGUCUGACAGUUCGCGCUGCAAGUUAAAUGUUGAGCACCUAAAUUUCACAACACGCUUAACAGACCGCCUACACUCCCUUUAAACCCAAUAAAUCCGGAUAACGCCCGGACCUUCCGUAUUACCGCGGCUGCUGGCACGGAAUUAGCCGGUCCUUAUUCAUGAGGUACAUGCAAUGGCGCACACGUGCGCCAMUUUAUUCCCACAUAAAAGCAGUUUACAACCCAU
Molecule: ribosomal RNA, 1027 nt
Filed under: Prevotella nigrescens
Lineage: Bacteria; Pseudomonadati; Bacteroidota; Bacteroidia; Bacteroidales; Prevotellaceae
Description: partial 16S ribosomal RNA
Source: RNAcentral